AAUUUUGUUCACACUCUGAAGUGACUGAGGAACACAGAGCUGGAACUGUCCCAUUUGGGCAGAUAUACAUGAAUUUUAGUUGUGCAAGAUGAAAAAAGUUCUGGAGAUGGAUGGUUAUGAUGAUGGUACCAUGAUGUGAAUGUAAUUAAAUGCCACUGAACGAUACAGUUAAAAAUGGUUAAAAUGAUAAACUAAACUCAGAAUUUUCCACCAGCAGACCUGCAUUAAAACAAGCAAGUGAGAAUAAAAACAACAUAAAUGAUGUUUUCAAACAGAAGAAAUAUGGCAAUACACCUGAAAGAUACAAGAAGAAAUAAAAAGAAGGUCAUCUCAUUUUGCCAAAAUGGCAAAAAGCAAACAAAAAAUUACAGUAUCUGCAUAAAAUAAACCUUUCCAAGAGUCAGUA
Molecule: long non-coding RNA, 406 nt
Organism: Mustela erminea (ermine)
Lineage: Eukaryota; Metazoa; Chordata; Mammalia; Carnivora; Mustelidae
Exons: 3
Source: RefSeq, a predicted model, not a curated record